RNAcentral lists this ribosomal RNA (408 nucleotides) under uncultured bacterium. RNAcentral's name for it is "partial 16S ribosomal RNA". It matches the Rfam family "Bacterial small subunit ribosomal RNA", at positions 28 to 526 of the family's 1533-position model. The record is from RNAcentral.
GACGAACGCUGGCGGCGUGCUUAACACAUGCAAGUCGAACGAAGUGGCGAACGGGUGAGUAACGCGUAUUCAACCUGCCCUUCCGAGGGGGACAACAGUUGGACACGAGUGCUAAUACCGCAUACUGAAGGAGGUGAUUGCGUCUGAUUAGCUAGUUGGAGGGGUAACGGCCAACCAAGGCGAUGCUCAGUAGCCGGUCUGAGAGGGUGAACGGCCACACUGGGACUGAGACACGGCCCAGACUCCUACGGGAGGCAGCAGUGGGGAAUCUUCCGCAAUGGACGGAAGUCUGACGGAGCAACGCCGCGUGAGUGAUGACGGCCUUCGGGUUGUAAAGCUCUGUUAAUCGGGACGCGGUACCGAAAUAGAAAGCAACGGCUAACUACGUGCCAGCAGCCGCGGUAAUUC